GACGAACGCUGGCGGCGUGCCUAAUACAUGCAAGUCGAACGCACAGUUUAUACCGUGGCUUGCUACACCAUAGACUGUGAGUUGCGAACGGGUGAGUAACGCGUAGGUAACCUGCCUGGUAGCGGGGGAUAACUAUUGGUAACGCUAGCUAAUACGGCAUAAUAUUUAUUAUUGUAGGAUGAUUAAUUGAAAGGUGUAAUUGCACCACUACUAGAUGUACCUGCGUUGUAUUAGCUAGUAGGUGAGGUAACGGCUCACCUAGGCGACGAUACAUAGCCGACCUGAGAGGGUGGUCGGCCGGACUGGGAGGGAGACACGGCACAGACGGCUACGGGAGGCAGCAGGAGGGAAUCGUCGGGAAUGGGUGAAAGUCUGAGCGCGAAACGCGGAGGGAGUGAGGAGGGUUGUCGGGUCGGAAAGCACUGUUGUAAGGGUGGAACGGGUGUGAGAGUGGAAAGAUCACCAUGUGACGGUACCUGACCAGGAAGCGACGGCUAACUACGUG
RNAcentral lists this ribosomal RNA (505 nucleotides) under uncultured bacterium. RNAcentral describes it as "partial 16S ribosomal RNA". It matches the Rfam family "Bacterial small subunit ribosomal RNA", at positions 28 to 507 of the family's 1533-position model. The record is from RNAcentral.